ACUUUUGGUCUAGCGGCUUAGGAUCCCGCGCUCCCACCACUGUGGCCUGGGUUCGAUUCCCGGGCAGAGAA
Molecule: non-coding RNA, 71 nt
Organism: Pangasianodon gigas (Mekong giant catfish)
Lineage: Eukaryota; Metazoa; Chordata; Actinopteri; Siluriformes; Pangasiidae
Source: the annotation of a GenBank genome assembly